Molecule: long non-coding RNA, 1585 nt
Organism: Equus caballus (horse)
Lineage: Eukaryota; Metazoa; Chordata; Mammalia; Perissodactyla; Equidae
Source: Ensembl
AGUUAGUCAAGCUUUCUUUUGCUUAUGGGUGCAAGGACCCAAUUCUACCUCAGUGAUCAAGAGUGACUCCUUAUUUCAGAACAUGUUAUAUAAUUGGGAUGGUGAAGACACUGCAGAAACUCAUCUGGUAUUUUCAGCUGAUCACCGUGAUUUACAUGGAGGUUAAGUGUUCUGAGGCGUAAGGAAGCUCCAGCUCCUCGGCCGUCGGGGUGUUGAGGGCACCGUCCAGGCUGUGUCGGGGGCCAGGACUGAGAGUCCUGCCGGGAGUGCAGAAUCGGACCCCGCCCGGCAGGGAAACGUUCUAACUCCUCAACACCGCAGGCCUCGGAGCACCGGGAGUCACUCACGAGCGGGGAGUUCGCCCAUUGUUCGGUGGAAGAUAACCUCUCGUCUAAUUCUUUGCAAUUCCCGUGUAAACUGCCCUAAGCACAGACAACGAGCAGAGUCAUCAGUGAACCAGAGAGAGAAGGCAGGCUGGCCUCUCUCCCGCGCCCGCCCUCUGCGCCCCAUCCCAACCGUCGGGCCAGCGUCGGGGAGCGCAGAGGCCGCCAGGCAGCGGCCUAAAACGUGUCGGGGUCGGGGCAGUUAGUCACCUCCUGGUACGCCUCCACUCCCUCGGCUCCCUGUGAGGUAGACCCCGCCGCCGUCACCAGCAACCCAGCCCGAGGCCGGCAUCCAUUUCCUCCCGGCGCCAGCGCAGCGGGCGCGCGGGCGGCGACCUGAGGCCAGAAGAUGGCGGCCGCGCCAGGCUCCGAGGCCGACGGAGCGCGGCGGGCGCAGAGCUGGCAGCGGCGCUGAGCAGGCUCUCCGGAGGGAGGGCGGCGCAGCGGGGUUAAGGGGAGCGGGCGACCAAGAGGGCACCGGGCACCGGAAGAGCCCCCGCCGCGCAACGGCCGCAGACGGCGCGGGCGGAAGCGGCCUGGCUGGGCGUCCGGCGCCGCCCGCCGCGGGGGAGCACGCUUCCUCUCUCCUCCGAGGCCGUGGCCCAGCUCCCCCGGCCCGCGGGCCUCCCGGCGGUCUCCGGCCUGAGAGGGCUGCGGCGCGCCCCGUCGCCCCGUGACGCAGGAAGCAGCGCGGCCGACGCCCUUCCCCGCGCGGGCCGGCCGCCAACGCCCGAGGCCGCGCCCGCCGCUCGCGCUCCGGACGGGCCGCGCGGGCGCCCACCCGCGAGAAAGGGGCGAGCCCUCACGAAGGCCGCCUCCCCCGGCGGGCGCGGCCGGGUGUCCGCAGACGACACUCGCAGCGCCGCUUCCACGGAAGGUCAGCGCCGGGUUCCGGAGCCUCCCCCUGUGGACCGGCCAGGCUCCGCGCGGGGCCGGCGUUCUCUCCAAACAGCUCCCCGGCCUGUCCUCGGCCCCUCUCGGCCAGCGGGCUUCCGCGAGGCCGCGGGGAGAGCACGCGCCGCGGCGUCCCCGCCCGGAGCCCGAGACAGUCCGAGCUGGGCGCCGCGAAGCACACUUGACCGGGCUGAGGAGGGAUUCGGAGGCCUCGCGGCACGACACUGGGGAAGGAAGGAACUGUUCAGGCCAUUUAGCUUAUUUCCCUGGAGCUGGCUCCUGGCCAGCAAAGAGCGUCCCGGGAAAAG